Rhopalosiphum maidis (corn leaf aphid) is the source of this 515-nucleotide long non-coding RNA. RefSeq lists it as uncharacterized. NCBI's taxonomy places the organism in Eukaryota, Metazoa, Arthropoda, Insecta, Hemiptera, Aphididae. The transcript is spliced from 3 exons. The record is from RefSeq and is a predicted model, not a curated record.
AUUACAUUUUUUAUUAAACAGUCUUCGCUUUAAAUUGUUUUUUGUAUAAUAUACAAUGAUUUAAAUUAACUUCAAAUUUAACACACUCAUAAUUCAUUACAGUGAUUUAUACGACUAAUGACGACUGACGAGAGAGAGAUGGGCCCUUGGACUAUGCCCGCCACUUAUCCAAGCGUAGUAUUGUAUAUAAGUGACUACACAAAUAUUUCAAUUAUCAGUAUUAUUUAAAUUGAUACUCAAGGUUCAAACAUUCUGGAUCCUUCAAUUCAUCUUCUGACAUGUAGGAUUGAUUUGAUUAAAUUAAUUUAAUCCUAUAAACUCUAGUUUUGGCAUUAUAUCAGGGCUUGAAUUGGUAUAUGUUAAUAUAAUAUAUAUAAUGUAAUUUUUAAAACUAUUUACUUUGUACCACACAGAAUAACGUUAUCUUUUGAAUACUAAAUAACACAAUAUCUAACUAGGUAACUCCAAAAAUGUGAUUUUGAGAUUAUUAGUGAUUAAAAUAUUAAGAAAAAAAA